Molecule: RNA transcript, 3723 nt
Organism: Erinaceus europaeus (western European hedgehog)
Lineage: Eukaryota; Metazoa; Chordata; Mammalia; Eulipotyphla; Erinaceidae
Gene: TNFRSF13C
Gene name: TNF receptor superfamily member 13C
Exons: 4
Source: RefSeq, a predicted model, not a curated record
GGACCCCUGGGGCUUUGGGCUGGCCUUGGGGACCUAGGCAGAGGAAGCCACCCAGAAGGCUGUGUCCCCAGGGCGAGAAGCGGGCCUGGUCUGAGCCUCAGCCAGUCCUAGGGCGUCUGGGGGUGAUGGUUGAGUAGCUGGAUAAAGGAAGCAGCCACAGAGAGGAGGUUUGGGGGGCAGGGCCCACCCUGCGGUUCCAGGCAGGGGCGGGGCGGGCGCGAUGGGCGGGGGCCUUGGGGCUCCUCGCCGGCUCAGUGAGUGGAGCGGGCGGACCGGCAGCAUGCGACGGCGAGGCCGGCGGAGCCGGGACGGGCAGGCGCCCUCGCCCUGCCUCGAGGCCCUGUGCUUCGACCUGCUGGUCCGCGACUGCGUGGCCUGCAGCUUUCUGCACACGUCGGAGCCCAGACCAGCCUUGCCUCCCGCUGGCCCUCCCCCUCCCUCGCCAGGCUUCCCCUGUGCCCGCUGCCCGUCCUCCCUGUCCCUUCUGUCCGCAGCGGGGACCAGCAGCCUGGAGCCCGGGACGGCGCUGCAGCCGCAGGAGUCGGUGGGCUCGGGGGUGGCGCCGGCCGAGGGGGCGCUGCCGCUGCCCGCGCUGCUCGUGGGCGCCCCCGCGGGGCUGGGCCUGGCGCUCGCCCUGCUGCUGCUCGGCCUGCUGAGCUGGCGGCGGCGCUGCGGCCGCGGGGAGGCGCGCCCCGAGGUGGCGGCCGCGGAGCCGCAGGAGGAGCCCCUGGACCAUGUCAUCAUCCUGCCCCCGGAACCCCUGCUCGCCACUGCUCCUGUUUGGCCUCCACCCAGAGAUGACCCAGGUGCCACCCCAACUGCCCACAGUGUCCCUGUGCCAGCCACUGAGCUGGGUUCCACGGAGCUGGUGACCACCAAAACAGCUGGCCCAGAACAACAGUGAUUCUGGGGACAGGAGAAGAGGGGGCCUGCUCUUCUGCCUGCCAUCAGUCAGGGGCUUGGAGGGCAUACCUCAUCUCCUUUCCUGAGCAAACAGCCUCCCCUACCCCCCACUCCAAGCUAAGCCUACAGAACCUCAGACACCGCAGACCACAGAGUUCAGCAACCUGGCAUCCUAUGACAUGUCUACACCUGCCUUCAAACCGCCCCUGCUUUGGUAACCCUCAACUGUGUGGCUGAACCCCAGUGCCGUUGAGUGGUUUGGGGCAGGCCAUGUGGUAGGCUUUCCCUUUCCUGUGGGAAGUCACUGACAAGCCAGAAUAGAUGGAGGAAAAGGGUGUGGGGGGGGGGGCUUAGUUUGUAGAGGGCUGUUGCAUUUCCUUCGGACUCUCUGGCAGAGACUGGUUUUUACAUGGGUACUUAUGCAGCGAUCAGGAACCUGUGGACAGCGCUUGGGACUUAGUGCUGACUGACUUGAAGAACUGGCCCAGGAUGUGUUGAGUCUCCAGUGUCUGUGCCCAAGAAGACUUCCAAACUUAGCCCCAUGUACUAGAGCCUCUAGUGUCAUUUUCCCUGGGAGCAUGAAGCAGCUUCCCAUACUAGAGAGGAGGUGAGCAGCCUCUGGAUGCCAGUUUGCAUAGCAGACCUGCCAUGCUCAUCCUCAAGACCACCCAGGGGCCCGGCUACCAGCUGGAGGUGCCUUCAUCCAGCUUCUUGUAACCUUCUUGUAACCUUGAACCAGUUGGUCCUGAUGCUCCUUGGUCCCCGCUCUCUGUGGCCUGCUCUCCCUGAGCCCCUGUCCUGAGGUCACCUGGGCAUUCUGUGCCAGCUCCUGGGCUCACCCACCACACUCUCUUCUCAGUGCUCCCUUCUCAGAGAUAUUCCUUGCUUUGGGGACCAUUCCCCCAAAUUGGGGACACUCCUCCACAGGCUUACAAGCCCAGGCAACAUCCUUGGAGUGUUUAGUGGCCUUGGCAGGAACACUGCACUAAGAAUCAGAAGAUGGGGUUCUGGGGAUCAUUCUGUCCCCACUGUAGAACCCCAUCCAUCUGUUCCAGGCCUCAGCUCCUGCCUGCUCACCUCUCCCUGUCCUGCCCCUUAGAGUUCUCUGCUGACAACCCUUCCCUGUCCCACUCCCCCAGCUCAGAAGCCAGCCAGCCAUGGAUACUCACAUCUAAGUCUGUCCCUCCCACCAGAGCUAGGUGGCAGGGGUGAAGCCAGGUGGCAGGGGUGUGGCCUGCCCUCCACUCCCCCCUCUUCUCAGGUCUGGGAGAGCCCCAGCCAUUCCCCCACCAGCCCUACCUCCUACUCCAUUGUGUUCCCCCUUAGCUAGAAGCUAGAGCUAAAGCAGUGGUGAGGCCCCUCUGGGGCUCAGACAUGCAAACCCUGGCACUUCUGGAUCCUGGCUGAACCCCAGCUGAACCCCCGGCUAGGCAGCUGUUUCCUCUCUAGUCUCAGUUUCCUUUUCUAAAACGCCAAGGGUUAGUACUGAGUGCUGGCCUGUGGCUCUCGGAGAAGAACCAGAAGGAAGCUUAGAGAAUCCUGCCCCCUCGUGUGAUUAACAGUGACUGAGGGGCGAGAGGGAGGGCAUUUAGCGUCACUGCCAUGUGGCAAACAGAAGGGGCGUCUGGGGAAGAACCAGAAGCAGAGCCCAGGGGAGAGCUGGCAAGGAGGGGACCAGAUUCUACCAGCCCCCUAGAAAGAAUCUCUUCCUCCAGCAGGAAGAGCCCAUGUUACUUUCUUCAUGUGGUCUCAUCAUCUAAUCUAUAAACAGCACCAGGAAUGUCGGCACAGGUGUGUGUUUAUGCCUUCCUUUUUUUUUUUCCUUAAAAAGUGAUUUAUGGGGAGUCGGGCUGUAGUGCAGCGGGUUACACGCUGGUGCAAAGCGCAAGGACCGGGUAAGGACCCCGGUUUGAGCCCCCGGCUCCCCACCUGCAGAGGAGUCGCUUCAAAAGCAGUGAAGCAGGUCUGCAGGUGUCUAUCUUUCUCUCCCCCUCUCUGUCUUCCCCUCCUCUCUCCAUUUCUCUCUGUCCUAUCCAACAGCAACGACAUCAGUAAUGACUACAGCAAUAAAACAGCAAGGGCAACAAAAGGGAAUAAAUAAAUAUUUUUAAAAAGUGAUUUAUGGGAGUCAGGUGGUAGCUCAGCGGGUUAAGUGCACGCGGCGCAAUGCACAGGGACCAGCAUAAGGAUCCCAGUUCGAGCCCCCGGCUCCCCACCUGCAGGGGAGUCGCAUCACAGGCGGUGAAGCAGGUCUGCAGGUGUCUUAUCUUUCUCUCCUCCUCUCUGUCUUCCCCUCCUCUCUCCAUCUCUCUCUGUCCUAUCCGACAAUGAUGACAUCAGUAACUACAACAAUAAUAAAAAUCAACAAGGGCAACAAAAGGGAAAAUAAAUAUUAAAGAUUUUUUUUUAAAAAAAGUGAUUUAUAUGGGCCAGCAGGAUAGCUUACCUGAGAGUGCACCUGCUUUGCCUUAUACAUGACUCAGGUUGAGCCCAUCCCCCCUUGCACUGGGGGGAGCUUCAGGGCUGUGGUGUCUUCCCCUCUCUCCCUUUGUCUCUGUUAAAGUCAGCUUGGAGCAAUGAAGCCCCAGAAAUAGCAAAAAAAAAUCUAACCCUAGGGGAGUCGGGCUGUAGCGCAGCAGGUUAAGUGCAGGUGACGCAAAGCACAAGGACUGGCAUAAGGAUCCCGGUUCAAACCCCGGCUCCCCACCUGCAGGGGAGUCACUUCACAGGCGGUGAAGCAGGUCUGCAGGUGUCUAUCUUUCUCUCCUCCUCUCUGUCUUCCCCUCCUCUCUCCAUUUCUCUCUGUCCUAUCCAACAACG